This is a non-coding RNA of Amborella trichopoda, 288 nucleotides long. NCBI's taxonomy places the organism in Eukaryota, Viridiplantae, Streptophyta, Magnoliopsida, Amborellales, Amborellaceae. The record is from RefSeq and is a predicted model, not a curated record.
GUUUAUUCGCACUCAAAGUGCGUUAUUCUCUCUGCAACUCGUCUCUCCUCUCUCUCAGUUAACUUUCUCCUGGUGGCAAGGAGCUUCUCGCUACAACCAGGGAAGAGGAUUCCCUUUCCCUCUCUAAAAUUAAUUUUGAAGGAGUGUCUCUCUCUAAAACCAGGCCAUGCAUGAUAGGAACUGGAAAUCACUUCCUAUAACAGGAUGAAAGGCUAUUAGCUAUCUGUUUCUGGUUCAUUCAGCUUGCGUAUUAAGCCUUGGCUUUUACGAAUCAUCAUUACCCCAUGU